AAAUCGUCAGUAGGACAAGAAAAGUAGAUCGGCAUGAAGGAGCCACACGCGUAAGAAACAGUGACGACUAACGCGCCCCCUAAGGACGAGGAGGGAAAAUUUUAACAAUGAAAGCUGAAAUUUCGAUAAAGAAUCAACUCUUGGCAGCGGGCAGCAGGGCGG
Polypterus senegalus (gray bichir) is the source of this 162-nucleotide long non-coding RNA. RefSeq lists it as uncharacterized. The transcript is spliced from 3 exons. The record is from RefSeq and is a predicted model, not a curated record. Lineage: Eukaryota; Metazoa; Chordata; Cladistia; Polypteriformes; Polypteridae.